RNAcentral lists this ribosomal RNA (1374 nucleotides) under uncultured bacterium. Its description in RNAcentral is "bacterial SSU rRNA". It matches the Rfam family "Bacterial small subunit ribosomal RNA", at positions 28 to 1381 of the family's 1533-position model. The record is from RNAcentral.
GAUGAACGUUGGCGGCGUGCCUAAUACAUGCAAGUCGAGCGAACGGACGAGAAGCUUGCUUCUCUGAUGUUAGCGGCGGACGGGUGAGUAACACGUGGAUAACCUACCUAUAAGACUGGGAUAACUUCGGGAAACCGGAGCUAAUACCGGAUAAUAUUUUGAACCGCAUGGUUCAAAAGUGAAAGACGGUCUUGCUGUCACUUAUAGAUGGAUCCGCGCUGCAUUAGCUAGUUGGUAAGGUAACGGCUUACCAAGGCAACGAUGCAUAGCCGACCUGAGAGGGUGAUCGGCCACACUGGAACUGAGACACGGUCCAGACUCCUACGGGAGGCAGCAGUAGGGAAUCUUCCGCAAUGGGCGAAAGCCUGACGGAGCAACGCCGCGUGAGUGAUGAAGGUCUUCGGAUCGUAAAACUCUGUUAUUAGGGAAGAACAUAUGUGUAAGUAACUGUGCACAUCUUGACGGUACCUAAUCAGAAAGCCACGGCUAACUACGUGCCAGCAGCCGCGGUAAUACGUAGGUGGCAAGCGUUAUCCGGAAUUAUUGGGCGUAAAGCGCGCGUAGGCGGUUUUUUAAGUCUGAUGUGAAAGCCCCACGGCUCAACCGUGGAGGGUCAUUGGAAACUGGAAAACUUGAGUGCAGAAGAGGAAAGUGGAAUUCCAUGUGUAGCGGUGAAAUGCGCAGAGAUAUGGAGGAACACCAGUGGCGAAGGCGACUUUCUGGUCUGUAACUGACGCUGAUGUGCGAAAGCGUGGGGAUCAAACAGGAUUAGAUACCCUGGUAGUCCACGCCGUAAACGAUGAGUGCUAAGUGUUAGGGGGUUUCCGCCCCUUAGUGCUGCAGCUAACGCAUUAAGCACUCCGCCUGGGGAGUACGACCGCAAGGUUGAAACUCAAAGGAAUUGACGGGGACCCGCACAAGCGGUGGAGCAUGUGGUUUAAUUCGAAGCAACGCGAAGAACCUUACCAAAUCUUGACAUCCUUUGACAACUCUAGAGAUAGAGCCUUCCCCUUCGGGGGGGCAAAGUGACAGGUGGUGCAUGGUUGUCGUCAGCUCGUGUCGCGAGAUGUUGGGUUAAGUCCCGCAACGAGCGCAACCCUUAAGCUUAGUUGCCAUCAUUAAGUUGGGCACUCUAAGUUGACUGCCGGUGACAAACCGGAGGAAGGUGGGGAUGACGUCAAAUCAUCAUGCCCCUUAUGAUUUGGGCUACACACGUGCUACAAUGGACAAUACAAAGGGCAGCGAAACCGCGAGGUCAAGCAAAUCCCAUAAAGUUGUUCUCAGUUCGGAUUGUAGUCUGCAACUCGACUACAUGAAGCUGGAAUCGCUAGUAAUCGUAGAUCAGCAUGCUACGGUGAAUACGUUCCCGGGUCU